UACAGAGGGGGCUAGCGUUGUUCGGAAUUACUGGGCGUAAAGGGCGCGUAGGCGGCCCGUUAAGUCGAACGUGAAAUCCCCGGGCUCAACCCGGGAACUGCGUCCGAUACUGGCAGGCUUGAAUCCGGGAGAGGGAUGUGGAAUUCCAGGUGUAGCGGUGAAAUGCGUAGAUAUCUGGAGGAACACCGGUGGCGAAGGCGGCAUCCUGGACCGGUAUUGACGCUGAGGCGCGAAAGCCAGGGGAGCAAACGGG
RNAcentral lists this ribosomal RNA (253 nucleotides) under uncultured bacterium. Its description in RNAcentral is "partial 16S ribosomal RNA". It matches the Rfam family "Bacterial small subunit ribosomal RNA", at positions 524 to 776 of the family's 1533-position model. The record is from RNAcentral.